GGUGAACGCUGGCGGCGUGCCUAACACAUGCAAGUCGAGCGGUGCAGUUUGAAGCUUCGGUGGAAAGCUGUAUAGCGGCGGACGGGUGAGUAAAGCGUAGGAACGUGCCCCUCGGAGUUGGAUAGCCAUGGGAAACUGUGGGUAAACCGACAUAGACUCGGGAGAGUAAAGGCCGAAAGGCGCCGAGGGAGCGGUCUGCGUCCCAUCAGGUAGUUGGUAGGGUAAAGGCCUACCAAGCCGACGACGGGUAACCGGUCUGAGAGGAUGGCCGGUCACAAGGGCACUGAGAGACGGGCCCUACUCCUACGGGAGGCAGCAGUGGGGGAUUUUGGACAAUGGGCGAAAGCCUGAUCCAGCGACGCCGCGUGGAGGACGAAGCCCUUCGGGGUGUAAACUCCUUUUCUCAGGGAAAAGGAUGAUGGUACCUGAGGAAUAAGCCCGGCUAACUACGUGCCAGCAGCCGCGGUAAGGCUACGUAGACUGGAGUACGUCGACGACGACACACGGAGGUAG
This 513-nucleotide ribosomal RNA is filed under the name uncultured bacterium. Its description in RNAcentral is "bacterial SSU rRNA". It matches the Rfam family "Bacterial small subunit ribosomal RNA", at positions 33 to 541 of the family's 1533-position model. The record is from RNAcentral.